This is a long non-coding RNA of Medicago truncatula (barrel medic), 417 nucleotides long. RefSeq lists it as uncharacterized. NCBI's taxonomy places the organism in Eukaryota, Viridiplantae, Streptophyta, Magnoliopsida, Fabales, Fabaceae. The transcript is spliced from 2 exons. The record is from RefSeq and is a predicted model, not a curated record.
CAUGAGUUUUAUACACUAUAAAGUGAUCAAAUCAUAUUAUAUUUACAUGGAAAAAGUAAAAAAUAUGUCUAUGACUAUAAAGUUUUUGUAUGCUAUGACUUUAUUUCUUUUCCUAUUUCAUAUUGAAAAGAGCAGUGCUUUAAUUGAUUGUAAAACAGUUGAUGAUUGUCCAAGCAGUUGGACUAAAAUAUAUAAGUGCAUUGACAACAAAUGUAGAUAUAGUGUUGUGAAGGGACUGAUUAUAUGAGCACCAUAUCCGAGAGAGUACACUUGAGUUACCAUUUAGUUGUUGUGUUAGCACCUAAUAAUUGUAUUUUUUUUUAAAUUACUUUUCAUUGUGUAAUAUUAUGAUCCUUUCAAUUAUGUCAUUGUAAUCUAAGAUAUUGGUAAUGAAAUGAAUCAAGGCACUAAUGAAUA